GGAGUUUGGACCGUGUCUCAGUUCCAAUGUGGGGGACCUUCCUCUCAGAACCCCUACUGAUCGAUGGCUUGGUGGGCCGUUACCCCGCCAACAACCUAAUCAGACGCAUCCCCAUCCUAUAGCGGUAAACCUUUGAUUCAACUUAGAUGUCCGCAUUGAAUAACAUAGAGUAUUAAUCCGACUUUCGCCGGGCUAUCCUCUACUAUAGGGAAGGUUGGAUACGCGUUACUCACCCGUGCGCCGGUCGCCAUCAAUCUUAGCAAGCUAAGAUCAUGCUGCCCCUCGACUUGCAUGUGUUAAGCCUGUAGCUAGCGUUCAUC
RNAcentral lists this ribosomal RNA (320 nucleotides) under uncultured Prevotella sp. RNAcentral's name for it is "partial 16S ribosomal RNA". Lineage: Bacteria; Pseudomonadati; Bacteroidota; Bacteroidia; Bacteroidales; Prevotellaceae. The record is from RNAcentral.